AACUAGUCAGCCGACGGGCUCUGAGGCUUUGAGGUUUGGAGGUAUCGUUUGAAGUAGCCGAGCCCGCCGCCGCCCGUCGGCGCCGUCAGGCUAGGUCGCCGCUCCCCUCCCUUACUAUCACUGCCCCCCCCCUACAGUGGUUGGCAACCACCGUACGCCACGCGCCGCCGCUCCGCGCUUCCGAUAUCAGUCAGUUCAGUUGUUCAGUUUGUGUUGGUGGUUUACUCUGACUUUAUAGGUUAUGUGUGACAGUUUAUGAGUGUAUUGUUUUCUGAAAUACUUUUAAUUGAAGAUAAGACAGAUACCGCUGUGAACUCCGUGUGAGUCGCGAAAGUGACAAUAAUAAACACGCCAAAUGGUCCCUAACUAGCGAAAACUAGGUUGAGACCUUCCCCUCACCCUCCAUUCGGAAAGUGACUAAGUUAUCGAUCAAACAGUAGAAAAUGC
This 447-nucleotide unclassified non-coding RNA is filed under the name Diabrotica virgifera virgifera (western corn rootworm). RNAcentral's name for it is "zinc finger MYM-type protein 1-like". The record is from RNAcentral. Lineage: Eukaryota; Metazoa; Arthropoda; Insecta; Coleoptera; Chrysomelidae.